RNAcentral lists this long non-coding RNA (1221 nucleotides) under Equus caballus (horse). Its description in RNAcentral is "lncRNA (ENSECAG00000051205.1)". The record is from RNAcentral. Lineage: Eukaryota; Metazoa; Chordata; Mammalia; Perissodactyla; Equidae.
GAGCCCUUUGGCUCUUCCUGGGGCCAGAACUUCAGUGUCUUCUCUCCCCUGCAGCUGGAACGUGGAGGGUGCCUGCCACAGAGACCUCAAUGGGGCUUUAUUUUCCAUCCUGAUUUCUUCCUUCUCUAUCCAGGAAGCUACUGGGUCAAGGACAAGUGGCUGCCCCCCUGCUCACUCAGUCAGGCCCUCACCUACUUCCUGGACAUCAUCAUCUGCCCAAGCCAGCUGCUGCUCCGAAAGCAGGCCUAGCUGACCAUGAAAGAGGACUAGAGACGGAGGUUGGAGACCUUGUGCCAGGCGAAGGACAGGAACUAUUUCCUCUCCAGUUUGGUCCUCUCAGCACCCUGGACAGCGCCCGGAACUUCCAGGCCUGCGUGGAGGCAAGGAGUGAAUAAAUGAAUGAAUAUCAGAUUGUGACAGCCUCUUCCCUCGGUGUGAAGCAGGUGCCCUGAGUCCUGGACACUGCACUUGGCUUUCAGUCCUCGGACUAUAACAAAUGGAAGUUCACCAAUGGCCACAAAAUCCUGGAGGUGCUGGAGGAGUUCCCGUCCCUGCGGGUGUCUGCUGGCUUCCUGCUCUCCCAGCUCCCUAUUCUGAAACCCUGGUGCUACUCCAUCAGCUCCGCUGGGGACCACACACCCACGGAGGUCCACCUCACCAUGGCUGUGCUCAGGUACUACACCCCAGGUCUACUUUCAAGACAUCCUGCGGCAGCAGCUGGCAGGUGCAGGCAAAGUCACAUGUAUGUCUGCGAGGUUGUGCACAUGUCCCAGGACAUGGCCUACACUCUGAAGCAGGUGAUGGCUGCCACGCUGAGUCUGAGUGAGGAGAAGGUUGAGGACUACUACUUCCAGCUUCAGGUACGGCCACUGGUGUGUGCACUAGGGAUGGAGGUCAAGGACACGGGCCAGGGAUCCUGGACUCCAGAGUUAGGCUCAGAACAGUCCUGGACCUCAAAGGAAUCCUACAGGUGCCUGGAGGUCAGGGCUGGCCAGGAAGUGAGAGGCCUGACUGUGCAUCCUGGUCUGUUGCUCAAUUCAACAGAGGCAAACGCCUUGCUUUACAAGCCUUCUCAGAGCCUCUAACACGCUAUGUGCAUCGUGACACUUCAAGAAGGGAGCAAGUACACAGCAUCUCCUGGACGCAUUUACCUCAGAGCCCACAUUUUCUGGAGCCUCUGGAGGGACAGGCAGUAGGCAGGCCUUACUGUCCAUCAUAAGC